UGGCUCUCGCAUCGAUGAAGAACGCAGCGAAAUGCGAUAAGUAAUGUGAAUUGCAGAAUUCAGUGAAUCAUCGAAUCUUUGAACGCACCUUGCACUCCUUGGUAUUCCGAGGAGUAUGCCUGUUUGAGUGUCAUUAAAUUCUCAACCAUAUAGAGUUUAUUCUCUGUAUGGCUUGGAUUUUGGGAUCUGCGGGUUCUUCAUUGAAUCGGCUGUCCUCAAAUGUAUUAGCAAGACUUUUGUUGCUAACUUCCAGUGUGAUAAUUAUCUACGCUGUUAGCGAGCUGCAUGAAUAGAGUUCUGCUUCUAAUCGUCUUCACAGACAACUUAUGACAAUCUGACCUCAAAUCAGGUAGGACUACCCGCUGA
This 366-nucleotide unclassified non-coding RNA is filed under the name uncultured fungus. RNAcentral describes it as "partial contains 5.8S ribosomal RNA and internal transcribed spacer 2". The stretch from base 1 to 133 matches the Rfam family "5.8S ribosomal RNA", at positions 22 to 154 of the family's 154-position model. Lineage: Eukaryota; Fungi. The record is from RNAcentral.